RNAcentral lists this ribosomal RNA (478 nucleotides) under uncultured Planctomycetales bacterium. RNAcentral describes it as "bacterial SSU rRNA". It matches the Rfam family "Bacterial small subunit ribosomal RNA", at positions 364 to 832 of the family's 1533-position model. The record is from RNAcentral. Lineage: Bacteria; Pseudomonadati; Planctomycetota; Planctomycetia; Planctomycetales.
UUUCGCAAUGCCCGAAAGGGUGACGAAGCGACGCCGCGUGUGGGAAGAAGGCCUUCGGGUUGUAAACCGCUGUUGGGAGUUAGGAAGUGUGGGGGUGUUAAUAGCGCUUCCACUUGACUAAAGCUCCAGAGGAAGCCACGGCUAACUCUGUGCCAGCAGCCGCGGUAAUACAGAGGCGGCAAGCGUUGUUCGGAAUUAUUGGGCGUAAAGAGCACGUAGGCGGCUCUGCAAGUCAGCUGUGAAAGCCUUCUGCUUAACGGAAGAACAGCAGUUGAAACUACAGGGCUUGAGUGCGGGAGGGGAGAGUGGAACUUCUGGUGGAGCGGUGAAAUGCGUAGAUAUCAGAAGGAACGCCGGCGGCGAAAGCGGCUCUCUGGUCCGUAACUGACGCUGAGUGUGCGAAAGCUAGGGGAGCAAACGGGAUUAGAUACCCCGGUAGUCCCAGCCGUAAACGAUGGGCACUAAGUAGAGGGGUUUU